RNAcentral lists this transfer RNA (91 nucleotides) under Candidatus Pacebacteria bacterium CG_4_10_14_0_8_um_filter_43_12. RNAcentral describes it as "tRNA-Ser". It matches the Rfam family "tRNA". Rfam says of the family: Transfer RNA (tRNA) molecules are approximately 80 nucleotides in length. Their secondary structure includes four short double-helical elements and three loops (D, anti-codon, and T loops). The record is from RNAcentral. Lineage: Bacteria; Bacillati; Minisyncoccota.
GGAGGGGUAGCCAAGUGGUCAUACGGCGCCGGUCUCGAAAACCGAGCGGAGUGAAAACUCCACGUGGGUCCGAAUCCCAUCUCCUCCGCCA